Biomphalaria pfeifferi is the source of this 367-nucleotide non-coding RNA. NCBI's taxonomy places the organism in Eukaryota, Metazoa, Mollusca, Gastropoda, Planorbidae. The record is from the annotation of a GenBank genome assembly.
UGUUAAUACAUUUCUGAAUUUACAAUGCAAAAAGAACUAUUACUUUGUAAUGAAAUUUCUUUACAAUCACAUGACUUAUUUAUACUUGAAUGACUUGCCAUAUGACUGUCAAUAUUAAACCCAGAAAUGCAUUGAACAGGAUUUCAUGAGAUUAUUCAGAGUGCACUAGCGAGAUACAAAAACCAAACCAACACUUCUGUAACUUUCAUCCUAAAAAUAAGUCUCAAGAGAAUCAAAAUAAUUACCAGUCAUGAAUGUAGCCUCAUAAUUUUCAACCAUUAGGCCUACUAGUUUAAUAUGCAUGGUAUCUUGGGUCUUUCUAUUUUCGUGAAGGUGUGUGGGCUACAUUGUACAACAUCUACAUACA